UGGACAUGCAUGAUGGGAAGAGAAAAUCUAUGAUAAUACAGAAACAAUGACCAACCCUUCACUAGUGAAAGCUUCUAGUGUCUAGACUGUGGACUCCAAGCACCAUUUCUCAUUAACUGCAACCAGGGUUCCUGGGAGAAAUGGCUGACUCUAGGUCUGGGACAAGCAAUGUAGCAGGUUUCUGGAACCCCUCUCCCUGGUCCAGUGGGUGAAUCUAGCCCGCAAACUGCAUAGGCGUUAAGUCAGUCCGAUUACACCCACGCUGUGCUGCGCAGGAGCCGUGCAGGCCGUCUUCAGCCUGUGUCACACGACCUUGCGUCCCCACGUCUCAUGACUGAAGACGCCAGUUGGACCUCUGCAGAGCAGGAAGAGGUGAAGGGCAGCUCGCUCUCACCCUCCCCCGCUGCAUUGCUUAGAGAUUGUGGGAAUAGUUAACGACCCUGGUCCUCGUCUCCCUCCACACGCAGAUAACAUCAGCUUCUCUGAACUUGUUUGAUGUGUGACUGAAGAUGCUUGUUUAUGUCACCCAGAUGCACCGUAUCCUUUUUUGACAUAGAUGAAACUUGGUCACAAAUUUUUUCCCUCUUCUCCUCUUCCCUGCACGUACACUGACUGCUCACACCCUCGGAGCAGUCCCCUCAGAGCACCCUGUGGAACUGGUUCUUGGGGUCCCACUCCUCACCCCGAGUAUUGAAUGAACUCCAUCACUAAUGUCACCAGGACCUUUCACUCAGUCAGCAGCAUACAACCUGUGUACCACCGCCCAGGGCAGGAUGUAGAAUAUUUCCCAUGCCUCCACCCCUUGUGCCCCUCCCUUGUCACAACCCUCCUCCUGGGAAAUGGCUAUGCUGAGGUCUACCACCAGAGAUAGAAGUAGGAUCCUAGUGGGUGGUCUUUUCUGUCCUGCUCUUUCACUCAUCAUGAUGUCUGGGAGAGUCACACUGUUGCUGCAGGUGGCAGGAGCUUAUUGCUUUUUGUUGCUGUGUAGUAUUCCAUUGUGUAAAUAUACUCAAGUUGCCUAUCUAUCCUAUUUGAUGGAAAGUUGAGUUGUUUCCAGUUCCCCACUAUUGUGAGUAGAAUGGCGAUGAACAUUCCCAGGAUUUAGAAAGGUACAGGGAGUGUGAUGCUGGGGUAAGAAUG
This 1140-nucleotide long non-coding RNA is filed under the name Equus asinus (donkey). RNAcentral's name for it is "lncRNA (ENSEASG00005034661.1)". Lineage: Eukaryota; Metazoa; Chordata; Mammalia; Perissodactyla; Equidae. The record is from RNAcentral.